UGGAAGACUAGUGAUUUUGUUGUUUUGAUUUGGGUAACAAGAAAUCACUAAUCUCCCU
Molecule: non-coding RNA, 58 nt
Filed under: Spodoptera frugiperda (fall armyworm)
Lineage: Eukaryota; Metazoa; Arthropoda; Insecta; Lepidoptera; Noctuidae
Source: RNAcentral